CGCGUAGGCGGCCUGAAAAGUCAGGGGUGAAACCCCUCGGCUCAACCGAGGAACUGCCUCUGAAACUGUCAGGCUCGAGUCCGGGAGAGGGUAGCGGAAUUCCCAGUGUAGCGGUGAAAUGCGUAGAUAUUGGGAAGAACACCUGUGGCGAAGGCGGCUACCUGGACCGGUACUGACGCUGAGGCGCGAAAGCGUGGGGAGCAAACA
RNAcentral lists this ribosomal RNA (207 nucleotides) under uncultured bacterium. Its description in RNAcentral is "partial 16S ribosomal RNA". It matches the Rfam family "Bacterial small subunit ribosomal RNA", at positions 568 to 774 of the family's 1533-position model. The record is from RNAcentral.